UUCCAGAGACAAAAACAGGAAGCGAAAUAAGAAAUGGUUGCCUUGGAAGAAUAGGACUGAAAAUAUGUGUUUCAUAAGGGAGGGUGAUGCUCAAAGUUAACUUAAUGUACUCAAGGUCUAGCAAAAAUAGGAAGUAGACAGAUAACGUAAUGUUUUGACGUACUUGUGAUGCAACAGUCCCUUUCCCCCUUUUCUCACUGUUUUCUGUCUCUCGUCGUCUUACAAGAAACGACCCGUUGCAGAUCUUCUGUCUAACUUCAUCCCAGAUGAUGAAGCUACUCUGUGUUAUCCCCCACUGUAGACACGGCUGCCUUGUGUGUGUUCUCACAGUCCUGUGUUUGACACUGUUGAUAUGCUCAUGGUGCACAGGGAGGGAAAGAGACACCUCGAAGGAAUGAAAUGGUUUUAUGGCAAAAAAAGAAUCACCACAUGAAAUGGAUAAGAGAUGACAUCAAGACGAUGUUAAAUCAGAUGAUCAAAAGUGAAGGAUUGGAAUUGUCAGGAUGUGGCCUAGAAGACAGAAAAGAUCAAAUCAACAAUAUCAACUCAUACGUCCGUUAGGACAGGAAGUAUUGACUCCAUAGCAACAACUAGUACAACAGGGACAGACUAAAGAAAAAGGAGAGACAAAGAAGAGGAAGAACGGAUCCAGCACUGAAUGUGAGCCUCAAACAGAUUAGAGAUGCAAUACAUUUAAACUGAACUGCGUGCGAGUUGACGAUAUUGUCUCUAGUC
This is a long non-coding RNA of Carassius auratus (goldfish), 735 nucleotides long. RefSeq lists it as uncharacterized. The transcript is spliced from 4 exons. Lineage: Eukaryota; Metazoa; Chordata; Actinopteri; Cypriniformes; Cyprinidae. The record is from RefSeq and is a predicted model, not a curated record.